Molecule: ribosomal RNA, 312 nt
Filed under: Triticum aestivum (bread wheat)
Lineage: Eukaryota; Viridiplantae; Streptophyta; Magnoliopsida; Poales; Poaceae
Description: partial small subunit ribosomal RNA
Source: RNAcentral
AUGUUUUCUCCGAUCUGGUCUCGUGAAUCGGUGAAUGGGGCCAAAGGGAGGCUGCUCCGAUCAAGGUCGCCCACCAUCAAGUCCCACUGUUGCCAAGGGCUGAAAUUUUCUUGUACUAUAUUUCUUUGGAGGUACAAGAUUACUACCACCAGCAGAACUGAUACCAAGGGCGUCUUUAGGAGGCAUGAGAGGGGAAUGAAGUGCUCAGAUGGGAUAUUCCACAACUUCAGUCCAUCAAAUCUCGGUAAUAUAUUUCUACCGCACAAAAAAGAAAAUGUUUUCCGCGUUGUAAUGCACAGGCAUAUGUGCUAG